UCUCCGUAGGUGAACCUGCGGAGGGAUCACUACGGGCUUGUAAAAGCUCUGAAACCACUGUUUAUCUACCUGAAUCUGCUUCGGCGGGCGGCCCCAGGGCGGGGCCGUAGCCGCAAGGCGCCCGCCGAAGACCCCUAAACUCUGUCGUCUUGAGAAUCUCUGAGUAAUCAUAUUAAACAAAAACAACUUUCAACAACGGAUCUCUUGGCUCUG
Molecule: unclassified non-coding RNA, 213 nt
Filed under: plant metagenome
Description: partial contains small subunit ribosomal RNA, internal transcribed spacer 1, and 5.8S ribosomal RNA
Source: RNAcentral